Molecule: long non-coding RNA, 923 nt
Filed under: Homo sapiens (human)
Lineage: Eukaryota; Metazoa; Chordata; Mammalia; Primates; Hominidae
Description: long non-coding RNA NONHSAT241778
Source: RNAcentral
ACAAACAAAAGCCCUCAUCCAUCUGAGAGCAAGGACGUCUGGUUUGGGGCAGGGAAACAGAAACCCCGUGGCGAGAAGAAAUUCCUCCUCCGUUUGCUCUUUGGAAGGGUAAGCGUGUGCGUACUUUUAAAUGAGUAGCAGCAAACUUCUAACUGAGAAAAGAAAAACUGAAGGACUAAAAUACUCUUGGGCAAAGUGAAAUAAGGAUACUGUGGGUUUGCGAGUUUUCCAAGAAGGGGUCCCGAGAUGUGGCUUGCUCGCCAGCAGGGGGCACGUUUUCUUUAGGAUUGCGUCCCAGAAUCUCGAAACCUCGCAGCCGGACUCUCUCCGAGUCCCAUCGCCGGAAAUCGCUCUGCAGAUAAUAACCCUCCGGUGUCUGGAAAUGUUUAAUUACCGCGAACUCUCCUUCCUCCAGCGCCACCCGCCGCCGGUGCAGCCCGGAAGGACCCAGCGCCGCGGGUGCAGUAGGUGGCUCUAUCUGCAGGAUUCCACCCUAACUAUUCACAAUUCCGUUCAAACUACUGUUCUCCAACAUCCCCGGCUGAUUAGACAUUGCCUUGUUUCUAAUGCACUUAUUUACACCUUGGAAAAAGGAAAAGUUCAUUAACCUUAGUACAUAGAUCUGGAUGUGUCUAAAAUAGUCUGACAACUCAAAUUUGUGUAAAAAGUAAAAACCCAUGCCGUCUUUUACAUACAUUUUACAUUUGAUCUUCACAACAGAAGACAUCAUCAUUCCAUUUUCCCGAUGAUCGUAUGCCCAUGCAAUUCCAUGCUAGUAUUUAUGCUUCAUGUCACACAUAUUUUUACAAACCAAAGGUAUAUGUGUGUGUGUGUGUGUGUGUGUAUGUAUUGUUACAUUUAUUAAGGUGAAAGAGUUACAUUUGUGUGCCCGUAAAGAACUUACCAAACGGGAACUGCCUGGA